RNAcentral lists this ribosomal RNA (831 nucleotides) under Stachybotrys sp. BRO-2013. RNAcentral's name for it is "eukaryotic LSU rRNA". The stretch from base 304 to 457 matches the Rfam family "5.8S ribosomal RNA". Lineage: Eukaryota; Fungi; Ascomycota; Sordariomycetes; Hypocreales; Stachybotryaceae. The record is from RNAcentral.
UGAUGGCUUAGUGAGGCGUUCGGACUGGUCCAGGGAGGUGGGCAACUACCACCCAGGACCGGAAAGUUCUCCAAACUUGGUCAUUUAGAGGAAGUAAAAGUCGUAACAAGGUCUCCGUUGGUGAACCAGCGGAGGGAUCAUUACCGAGUUUACAACUCCCAAACCCUUAUGUGAACCGUACCUAUCGUUGCUUCGGCGGGAACGCCCCGGCGCCCUGCGCCCGGAUCCAGGCGCCCGCCGGAGACCCCAAACUCUUGUGUUUUUUUCAGUAUUCUCUGAGUGGCAAACGCAAAAAUAAAUCAAAACUUUUAACAACGGAUCUCUUGGCUCUGGCAUCGAUGAAGAACGCAGCGAAAUGCGAUAAGUAAUGUGAAUUGCAGAAUUCAGUGAAUCAUCGAAUCUUUGAACGCACAUUGCGCCCGUUAGCAUUCUAGCGGGCAUGCCUGUCCGAGCGUCAUUUCAACCCUCAGGGUCCCCGUUCCGGCGGGGAACCUGGUGUUGGGGAUCGGCCCGCCCCGCGCGGCGCCGUCCCCCAAAUUCAGUGGCGGUCUCGCUGCAGCCUCCCCUGCGUAGUAGUUACAACCUCGCAUCGGAGCUCAGCGCGGCCACGCCGUAAAACCCCCGACUUUCUGAACGUUGACCUCGGAUCAGGUAGGAAUACCCGCUGAACUUAAGCAUAUCAAUAAGCGGAGGAAAAGAAACCAACAGGGAUUGCCUUAGUAACGGCGAGUGAAGCGGCAACAGCUCAAAUUUGAAAUCUGGCCCCAGGCCCGAGUUGUAAUUUGCAGAGGAUGCUUUUGGCGCGGUGCCUUCCGAGUUCCCUGGAACGGG